AAAAACUCUGUAAGAGAGCAGAAAUAAGAAUCUAUGGCACAGAUGCCCUGCAGAAGGCAAGAGCUAAGCCUGAGUUUAAUCUUGGCCAGUGCUGUUGUUGGGGUAUUUUUUUUUUUUUUUUCUUUUUAGGCUUGUACCUGUGGCAUAUGGGAGUUUCCUGGCUAGGGGUGGAAUUGGAGCUGCAACUGCUGGCCUAUACCACAGCCACAGCAAUGUGGGACCGGGGAUCCGAGCCUCGUCUGCAACCUACACCACAGCUCACAGCAAUGUUGGAUUCUAAACCCACUGUGUAAGGCCAGGGAUCAAACACACAUCCUCAUGGAUACCAGUCGGGUUCAUAACCCACUGAGCCACAACAGGAACUCUUGGGAUUUUUCCUGUGGCCACAUCGGAGGCAUAUGGAAGUUCCUGGGCCAGAGAUUGAAUCUGAGCUGCAGCUGUGGCCUAUGCUAUAGCUGUGGCAAUGCUAGAUCCUUUAAACCACUGUAAUAGGCUGGAGAUCAAACCCGCUGUGCCACAGCAAUAACUCGUAGUGUUGGGGUCUUAACCCCUGUCUCCAUUACUCCCUCUCUUUCUAUUACAUCAUAUUUUCUUUGACUAUAUAUUUUACACUUUAUUAUGUCUUGGCUUUUAAAUUUUAAACUGCCAAAUAACUGCUAUUUGCUUUGUGAUGAACAUUUUAGUUUUAUUUUGCCUUCAUUAUGUUGCUAUCUAAUAUAUUACAGCAAAGUACAUAUAUUGUAAGUGUCGAGCUUGAUUAAUUUUUCCUAAAAUGAAUAUACCCAUGUGUUCAGUAUUCAGGUUGAGAAACAGAAAAAUUCCAGCAUAUAAAGAAAUCCACUUUAUUUUCCCUUGCAGCCCUUCUAUAUUCACAACAAGGGUAAUCAUAUCUUGACUUCCAACAGCAAUAAUGAGUUUUAUCAGUUCUUAGAUUUUAUGUUAAUGGAAUUCUAUUAUACGUGACUUUUUGGGUAUCUGGCUGCUUUUGUUGUAUGUUUUGUGAGAUUCAUCUUAUUGUUGCAUGUAGCUGUUGAUUGCUUUAUAGCAUUGAUUGUGUGCGACUAGACCACAACGUAUUCAGGCUACUGUUGUUAGGCUUUUGGCUAGUUUGAAUAUGGGGCUGUGAUGCAUGUGUUGUUAUUGGUCUAGUCAAUGUCUUUUGGUGAAUAAGUAUUUUAAUGUCGAACAUAUGUUUAGGAGGGGAGUUGCUGAGUUAUUUUUUAACAAAACAGUUUUAGUAGGAAUUCUCAGUCAUUGGCCCAUUCAACAAAUAUCUCUGAAGAUUUUUCAAAACAUCUAUGCCUAAAUUCUACCUUAGGAAUUUAGAUUCAAGUCUUUUGGAGUGAGGCCAAAUUUUGCUCAUUAAAACAAAAACCAGGGAGUUCUCUUGGGGCACAGCAGGUUGAAGACUGGGUGUUGUUGCUGUAGCGCUUGGGUCAUGGCUGUGGUGCAGAUUCGAUUCCUGGCCUGGGAACUUUCCAUAUGCUGUGAGCACAGCCAAAACAACAACCCCCCCCAAAAAAAAAAAAAAAAACUCCAUAGAAAUAUACUUGUGCAGCUGACGUUGAGAAUCACUGACCUUUUUUUGAAUGACAGAACAAUGUUCAUGGGUUAAGGAUCUGGUGUUUCCACAAGCUGUGGCACAGGUUGCAGAUGCGGCUCGUUCAAUCCCCUAGCCUGGGAACUUGCUUGUGCUGCAGAUGCAGCCUUAAAAAAAAAAAAAAAAAAAAAAAAAAAAAAAAAAAUCUCAGCUCAAGCUCCCAACAAAGACUUGCUAUUUUUUUAAAUUAACAUUUUAAAUGUUGAGAUAACUGUGGAUUCACAUGCAGUUGUAAGAGUAUCCUUAGCUUCCUCUAAUGGGAACAUCUCACUAGACAAUCGUACAAUAUUAGGAUGAGGAUAUUGACAUUGGCACAGGAAAGAUACAGAAUAUUUCCAUCACCACAAGGCUCCUGAUACUAUCCUUUUAUAGCCACAUGCACUUCCUACUGUCUCCACUCCUUCUUUAGCCCUUGGCAACCACUAAUCUGUUCUCCAUUAUUAUAAUUUUGUCAUUUCAAGAAUGGUGUGCAAAUGGAAUCAUGCAGCAUGUAAGCUUCUGAAAUUUGCUUUUUCUCUCAGCGUGAUUAUCCAGAGAGAGAGAUCCAGGGUUUUGUAUAUUAACAGUUUGUUCCUUUCUAUUGCUGAGUAUGUUUAACUCUGCAGUUGGUUUAACCAUGUACUUGAAGAACAUCUGGGUUGUUUCCACUUUGCUCUUACAAAUAAAGUCUUUUGUAAAAUUUGUGUACAGGUAUUUGUGUGAACAUAAAUGUCAUUUAUCUGGGAUCAAUGCUCAGUAAUGCAGUUGCUGGGUUGGAAAGUGAUGGCAUGUUUUUAAAAUUUUUCCAUUUUGUUACAACAUUACAGAUGCAUUGCCCUCUGAAACAUCACAUUUAAGAAGGGGACAAAUCCUUUAAAUCCCAAUGAUUAUUAAUGAAAAUGACAAAACUUUGUUUUCUCUAAACAUUGAUGAAAAGUGGCAUGUGUCUGGUUAUUCUUGUACAAGAAGGCCUGAUGUGUAGCCAAGAUGAUUGCACAUUUACUUUUUUUAUGGUCCAAAGGAGCUGUAGUAUUUUACAUUCACACUAGUUAGGCAUGAGUGAUUCGGGUUCUUCAUAUCCUUGCCAGCACUUUGUGCUGUCACUUUUUAUUUUUAGCUAUUGCGACAGGUGUGUAGUGAUAGCUCAUUGUGCUUUUAAUUUCUAGUUCCCUAAUGGCUAAUGAUAGUGAACAUCUUCUCAUGUACUUCUUGGCCAACUGUAUGUUCUUGUCAGUGAAAUAUCCAUUCUUGUCUUUUGCCCAUUUUUAAAUGGAAUUCUUGUUGAGUUCUGAGAAUUCUUUAUACAUCAAGAUAUGUUCCUUUGUCUUAUAUGUGGCUUGCAAAUACUUUUUCAUAUUACAUAGCUUUUUUUUGUUUGUUUGUUUUUGUCUUUUUAGGGCCCUGUGGCAUAUGGAGGCUCCCAGGCUAGGGGUUGAGUUAGAGCAGUAGCUCCUGGCCUAUACCCAAGCCACAGCAAUACGGGAGCCAAGCUGCAUCUGCGACCUACACCAUAGCUCGUAUCAGCGCCGGCUCCUUAACCCACUGAGGAAGGUCAGGGAUUGAACUCGUGUCCUCAUAGAUACUAGUCUGUCUUUUCAUGUUCCUGAUAAAUCUUUAACAGAGAAAAAUUUUUGAUUUUAAUGAGAUCACAUUUAUAAAGUUUUCCUUUCAUGGAUUGUGAUUUUUGUGUCAAAUUUAAAAACUCUUUACCUAUCUCUAGACUCUCAAAAUUUUCUCCUAUAUUUCUGUUGGUUUUAUAGUUCUGCAGCUUACAUUUGUCUGUAAUUAAUUUUGAGUAAUUCUUGUAAAGUUAUUAGAUUAGGUAGAGGUUUAUUUUUUGCUCUAUAGCUGCCUAGUUGCUCUAGUACUGUUGGUUGAAAAGGCUGUUUUAUUCACUGAAAUAGUUUGCAUCUUUGUAGGAUAAGUCGGGCAUAUUUGUAUGGGAUUACCUUUGAAUCUUUCUGUUUUGUUAUCUAUGUGUCAAUCCUUCUGCCAACAAUAGUCAUGAUUACUCUCUCUAUAUAUAAAAUAUCUCUUGAAAUUGAGUAAACUGAUUCCUAUUUUAUUAUUAUUUUUUUAAAUUACAGCUAUUCUAGAUUCUUUGCUUUCCCAUAUAAAUUUUCAAAUAGUUUUGCCUAUAUCUAUAAAAUUCUUGGAGUUCCUGUUAUGGCUCAGCACAUUACAAACCUGACUGAUAUCCAUGAAAAUGCAGGUUCAAUCCCUGGCCUAGCUCAGUGGGUUGAGGAUCUGGUGUAGCCUGCAGAUGUGACUUGGAUCCCACAUUGCUAUGACUGUGGUAUAGGCUGGCAGCUGCAGCUCUGAUUCAACCCCUGGCCUGGAACCUUCCAUAUGCUGCAGUUGUAACCCUAAAAAACAAAGGAAACAAACAAACAAAAAAUUUAAUUUUGAUAGGAACUGUCUUAACUCAAUUUGCAUAUCAAUUUGGGGAGAAUUGACAUCUUAAAUAUGUAGACUCCUCCAAUCCAUGAAUAUGGUAUAUCUCUUUAAUUUUUUUUUAGGUCUUUUAUUUUUUUCAUCAGCACUUGAGAGUUUAGCAUUACAAGUCCUGUUUGUAUUUUGUUAGAUUUAUAUAUAAUUACUUUAUAUUUUUUGAAUGGCUGUAAAUGAUAUUGCAUUUUAAAAUUUGGUGUGCUUUAUUCAUUGAUAGUAUAUAAAAUAAAAUUGAUUUUUGCAUCUUUACUUUAUAUCCGUGACCUUGCUAAAUUCAUUUCUUAUACUUCUGAGUGGUUUUUGGAGACUCAUUGGAAGUUUCUGCAUAGACAAUCAUGUCAUUUGCAAAUUGGGACAGUUUUCUUUCUUCCUAUCCAAUCUGUACAUCUUUUGUUUCUUGUCUUAUUGCACUGGGUAGAUCUUCUAACACUAUGUUGACUUAGAAUGGUAGAAGUGCCUUAAUCUUUGCUUUAAUCCUGUUUUCACCAUGAAGUAUGUUAGCUGUGGGUGGUCUAUAGACGCUUUUUAUAAAGUUGAGGAAAUUUCCCUGCAUUCCUGUUUCUUGAGUGUUUUAAAAUCAUGAAUGGAUGUUGAAGUUUGUCAAAUGCCUUUUCUGCAUCCAUUGGUCUGAUCUCAUGACUUUCCUGCUUUAGCCUAUUAAGAUAAAUAAAAUUGACUUUUUUUCUAACUUGAAAUCAGUCAAGUAUCCCUGAAAUAAUCUCCACUGGCAAUAGUGUUUAAAUUCUUUUGAUGUUAAAGACUAUUUAUAUUCUUUUUAUGUGCUCCUAUUUGUUAUCUUUGGUUAAGAAUUUUUGUGUCAUAUUGAUGAGAGAUAUUGACCUACAGUUUUUUGUACUGUUUGUGUGUGGUUUGGGUAUUGGGGUGAUACUGGUUUUAUAAAACAUGGGAAAUGUUUUCCUCUUCUGUUUUCUGUAACAGAUUAUAUAAUGAUGUUAAUUAUUUCACUAUAUGGUAAAGGUUUGCUGUGAACUCACCUGGGGCUAAGAUUCAUUUUUUGAGGAGUUUUAAAAUUAAUAAUUCAAUUUACUUAAUAGCUAUAGGGCUAUAAAAUUAUCUAUUUGAUACUGGGUGGGUUGUGGUAGUUUGUGUUUUUCAAGGAAUUGGUGUAUUUCAACUAAAUUGUAAAAUUUAUGUGUAGAAUUAUUCAUGAUAGUUACUUUUUUUUUUCAAUGAUUUUUAUUUUUUCCAUUAGAGUUGGUUUACAGUGUUCUGUCAAUUUUUUUUUUUUUGUCUUUUCUAGGGCUACCCCUGUGACAUAUGGAGGUUCCCAGGCUAGGGAUCCAAUCGGAGCUGUAGCCGCCGGCCUAUGCCAGAGCCACAGCAAUGAGGGAUCUGAGCCGCAUCUGAGACCUACACCACAGCUCAUGGCAAUGCCGGAUCCUUAACCCGCUGAGAGAGGCCAGGGAUUGAACCUGCAACCUCAUGGUUCCUAGUCAGAUUUGUUAACCACUGUGCCAUGACGGGAACUCCUGUUCUGUCAGUUUGCUACUGUACAGCAAAGUGAUCCAGGCACACAUACAUAAAACUUAUUCUUUUGAUGCCUACAAAGUUUGGGUUUCAUCCUAGGUUUUACUCCUGCUGUUGGUAAUUUAUCUUUUCUCUACCUCUUUUUUUUCAGUCUUGCUAGAGAUCUGUUGGGUUUUUUUUUCUUCUUUUCAAAGAACUUUCUGUUUUUUUUUUUUUUUUUUGGUUAUUGUUUUUGUUUUUGUUUUUUUUUUGUCUUUUUAUGGCUGCACCUGCAGCAUGUGGAGGUUCCCCGUCUAGGGAUCCAAUCUGAGCUGUAGCCGCUGGCCUACACCACAACCACAGCAACAGGGGAUCUGAGCCGUGUCGUCUGCGACCUACACCACAGCUCAUGGCAAUGACAGAUCCUUAACCCACUGAUCAAGGCCAAGGAUCGAACCUGAAUCCUCAUGGAUACUAGUCGGGUUCAUUAACUGCUAAGCCAUGAUGGGAACUCCUAUUUUUUUUUCUGUUCAUUUUCCUUGAUUUCUUUUCUUAUUUCAUUCCUUGCAUGAGGUUUAUCUUGCUUUUCUUUGCUUCGUUUAUUGAUUUGAGACUUUUCCUUAUUUCUAAUGUAUGCCUUUAAUGCUGUACAUUUUCUUUCUAGAGCUGUUUUCUCUGCAUCCCACAUUUUUUUUUUUGUUUUUUUAUAGCUGCACCCAGGGAAUAUGGGGUUUCCCAGGCUAGGGGUCGAAUUGGGACUGUAGCCACUGGCCUAUACCAGAGCCAC
RNAcentral lists this long non-coding RNA (6284 nucleotides) under Sus scrofa (pig). RNAcentral describes it as "lncRNA (ENSSSCG00005032050.1)". Lineage: Eukaryota; Metazoa; Chordata; Mammalia; Artiodactyla; Suidae. The record is from RNAcentral.